Molecule: ribosomal RNA, 523 nt
Filed under: uncultured endophytic bacterium
Lineage: Bacteria
Description: bacterial SSU rRNA
Rfam family: Bacterial small subunit ribosomal RNA
Source: RNAcentral
AGAGUUUGAUCCUGGCUCAGGAUGAACGCUGGCGGCGUGCUUAACACAUGCAAGUCGAACGGUGAACACGGAGCUUGCUCUGUGGGAUCAGUGGCGAACGGGUGAGUAAUGCCUAGGAAUCUGCCUGGUAGUGGGGGACAACGUUUCGAAAGGAACGCUAAUACCGCAUACGUCCUACGGGAGAAAGCAGGGGACCUUCGGGCCUUGCGCUAUCAGAUGAGCCUAGGUCGGAUUAGCUAGUUGGUGAGGUAAUGGCUCACCAAGGCGACGAUCCGUAACUGGUCUGAGAGGAUGAUCAGUCACACUGGAACUGAGACACGGUCCAGACUCCUACGGGAGGCAGCAGUGGGGAAUAUUGGACAAUGGGCGAAAGCCUGAUCCAGCCAUGCCGCGUGUGUGAAGAAGGUCUUCGGAUUGUAAAGCACUUUAAGUUGGGAGGAAGAGCAGUAAAUUAAUACUUUGCUGUUUUGACGUUACCGACAGAAUAAGCACCGGCUAACUCUGUGCCAGCAGCCGCGGUAAU